Bos taurus (domestic cattle) is the source of this 73-nucleotide non-coding RNA. The record is from Rfam. NCBI's taxonomy places the organism in Eukaryota, Metazoa, Chordata, Mammalia, Artiodactyla, Bovidae.
UCCCUGAUGGUUCAGUGGUUAAGACGUUGCACUUCCAAUGCAGAGGGCCAGGGUUCAAUCCCUGGUCAGGGAA